Long non-coding RNA from Pogonomyrmex barbatus (red harvester ant), 974 nucleotides. RefSeq lists it as uncharacterized. NCBI's taxonomy places the organism in Eukaryota, Metazoa, Arthropoda, Insecta, Hymenoptera, Formicidae. The record is from RefSeq and is a predicted model, not a curated record.
ACAUGAUCAAAUCGGAACACGAAAUAUUGAGAUUUGCAGAUAAAGUAAAAGAACCAUUUUGUCCGAAGUCACAUUGUAAAGAACAAUUCACGGCGAUAAAACAGAUGUAAUCGUAGGACAGAGGAUGUGGAUCCGAAAUCACGGAGCAGGAAGACGUAUUACGAGUCAAAUGUCUACAAUGUUCAGAGAUUCCAGUACUUAGUAAUCGUCCCAUCUGAUUCACAGAUGGAUAAGACUCAUCACAAUCCUGACGAUUGAUCUUAUAUAUAACAUUUUCUUUGAAUUUGAUAAAGGUCUUUAUGUAUCUUGAUGACAUCACGAAGUUUGUUAAUAUUACAAAAAGCCAGUCUGUAUUCCGAGUUCUUAAAGAUGUUAAUUUUAACUAAAUUUAUUGGAAAUAUUGGAGAUGUAUGGAAUGGUAAGCCAUGACAGUUUGUUUUCCCGUGUGCUAACACUAUUAUCAUGAGUCGACUCAUCUCUUCGCUUAUAUAUUAAAUUUUUUAAUCGUUUGUUAAUGUUGUCAAAAAUAAAAUCCGGGCAGUCAUUAUCAAGUAACAUUGACAAUAAAUUGGAGAUUUUUUGUGAUAUUCUGGAUGCAACAGUAAAAAUGCCUUGUCUACUAAAUUCAUAAUUAUGCCUCUUUUCUGGGAGAUGAAGUGCUGCAAGUUCAAACAACGACCUGAGAAAGUUGGUUUGUGGUACCAAUCAAACACAAUUAAGCUAUUUUUUACAAACAGCGAGACAUUUAAGAAAUUUAGGAUGAGGUCCAAUCGGAUAUAUUGCCGAUUGAUCAAUUAAAUGAAAAAAUUUUUGAUAGGUAGCUCACUAGAAAAUUCCUAGGCAUCGGCUGAUGUGAGCGGUGUGUCCGAUUGAAAAUGUGCGCAUCUGGGACGCUCCCGAAAUUUAUAUGGUUUCCUCCUAUUUCUAAUGUAAAUUGUAGCCUCUGGUGGAAGGCAAUAAAAUAUCAUUUGCUA